CGCUAGUACGGCGAGUGAGCGGGAUGAGCUCAAAUUUAAAAUCUGGCUGCCUCAGGUGGUCCGAGUUGUAGUCUCGAGAAGUGUUUUCCGCGUUGGCCUGUGUACAAGUCCUUUGGAAUAAGGCGUCAUAGAGGGUGAGAAUCCCGUCCUUGACACAGAUCCCCAAUGCUUUGUGAUGCGCUCUCAAAGAGUCGAGUUGUUUGGGAAUGCAGCUCAAAAUGGGUGGUAAAUUCCAUCUAAAGCUAAAUAUUGGCGAGAGACCGAUAGCGAACAAGUACCGUGAGGGAAAGAUGAAAAGCACUUUGGAAAGAGAGUUAAACAGUACGUGAAAUUGUUGAAAGGGAAACGAUUGAAGUCAGUCAUGCUCGUAGGGAUUCAACCGGUUCUGCCGGCCUAUUUCCCUACUUGCAGGCCAGCAUCAGUUUUGACCGGUGGAAAAGGUUGGAGGGAAUGUGGCAUCCUCGGAUGUGUUAUAGCCCUCUUUCGCAUACAUCGGUUGGGACUGAGGAACGCAGCACGCCUUUAUGGUCGGUCUUCGGACACGUACGUGCUUAGGAUGCUGGCAUAAUGGCUUUAAACGACCCGUCUUAACCC
RNAcentral lists this ribosomal RNA (594 nucleotides) under Itersonilia pannonica. Its description in RNAcentral is "eukaryotic LSU rRNA". It matches the Rfam family "Eukaryotic large subunit ribosomal RNA", at positions 78 to 660 of the family's 3401-position model. Lineage: Eukaryota; Fungi; Basidiomycota; Tremellomycetes; Cystofilobasidiales; Mrakiaceae. The record is from RNAcentral.